AAAGUAUUUUAGCAUGAUGACAUUUAUUUAAAAAUAUUAAAAUACAGAGUAAUUAAAAUACAUCAUUUAAUUUGUUACUGUGUGGUUUGUAAAAUAAAAUACAAGUAGUUGGUGCUUUUACAAGCACCAUAGUUGGAUUAUAUAUAUAUAUAUAGAGAGAGUUGAGCUGGAAUACUAUCGAUAGCAAAUGGGCUCCGUUGCCAUUCAUUUGUUUUCGAUGAUGGAGCCUCCAAAUCGACGAUCGGCACCGUUGAAAAUGAUCUAUACCACUUGAAGUAUUUAGAAAGCAAAUUUCAUACUUUUCCGAUAUUGUUUUCUUGCCCAUCAAGUGGGCGUAAAAAUGAAUGGCUGAAAAUGAAUAUCCUCUAAAAAGUGAUGAUAGAAAUUUUGUAAUCAUGAUCAAGAGUAUAGAUCUUGUUCUAAAUAGUUUAAAAAAUUUUCUAACCAAAAUUCAAUUGAUUUGGAUAGCUUUACACCGUUAAACGAGAAAACCCUUCAUAUCAACCAUUAAAAUUACUAAUUUUGAAACCCUUUGAUCAUUAGGUAAAUGAUGUCGACAAGAUUUGAAAUUUAAUUUUUAAAUACUUCAAGUGAUAUAGAUCAUGUUCAACGGUGCCGAUUGUCGAUUUGAAAGCUUCAUCAUCGAAAACAAAUGGAUGACAACGGAGCCCGUUUGCUACUGAUAGCAUUCCAGCUCAACUCUAUAUAUAUGAAAAAUUAAGAUAGAAAACUUAGAGCAAUAAGUAGAACUUUUUUGGUUGUAUGAAAUUAAAACUUAUGCAAUUUUUUCUUUUGAAAUAAAGUGAUUUUUUUUUUAAUUCGAGAUACCAAAGCAUAUAAAUUUGUGUUCGUUCAAAUAACUCAG
This 865-nucleotide long non-coding RNA is filed under the name Ananas comosus (pineapple). RNAcentral describes it as "long non-coding RNA (ACOM_LNC025006)". Lineage: Eukaryota; Viridiplantae; Streptophyta; Magnoliopsida; Poales; Bromeliaceae. The record is from RNAcentral.